CUCGUAGGCGGUUCGUCGCGUCCGGUGUGAAAGUCCAUCGCUUAACGGUGGAUCUGCGCCGGGUACGGGCGGGCUGGAGUGCGGUAGGGGAGACUGGAAUCCCCGGUGUAACGGUGGAAUGUGUAGAUAUCGGGAAGAACACCAAUGGCGAAGGCAGGUCUCUGGGCCGUUACUGACGCUGAGGAGCGAAAGCGUGGGGAGCGAACA
RNAcentral lists this ribosomal RNA (207 nucleotides) under uncultured bacterium. RNAcentral describes it as "partial 16S ribosomal RNA". It matches the Rfam family "Bacterial small subunit ribosomal RNA", at positions 568 to 774 of the family's 1533-position model. The record is from RNAcentral.